Molecule: long non-coding RNA, 312 nt
Filed under: Eucalyptus grandis
Lineage: Eukaryota; Viridiplantae; Streptophyta; Magnoliopsida; Myrtales; Myrtaceae
Description: long non-coding RNA (EGRA_LNC007458)
Source: RNAcentral
UUGAAGUCAAAUUUUCUAGGAUAUAAAACACCAAUGUCAGGCAACAUAACACUGAUUUCUCUUAUAAUAACCUCAAUCUCAGCAAAACAAUUAACGAUAAAUCAGGCUGACAAAGCCAACCACAACCCACUUGCCCUCCUUGACUUGAUGUCAAUAGCAACAGAAACAGCAGCAAGAACAAGAACAAGGUUAACCCUGUUUAUAUUGGAACUUGUUUUGCAAAAAAUUUCUGAACGUGCACAUUUCACAUCUUGCUAGUAAACCAUGAAUCUCUGUCUUAACAUCUCAUCCUGCAACCAAACCGUGACAAGA